UGAGGCUCCAACAAACAUCGGGGAUGGUGAAUAAUGAUGGCGCUGGCUUGUAUUAGAGUGACUAUCCCGACGGGGAGUUUCUUCCCAUUCCCAUCUCCCAUCAUCCCAGUCAGAUCUACCUGGUGUCCUCCUUGAACCUUCGUAUCUGCCUCGUUUUCUGUCAUAAUCUCUACUAUGUUCUCUUUCAUACGAACGACGAUCUCCCCUUCCAUGACUGCUCUCUUCACUAUUAUCCCUAUGCCGGUUUCUAUUCCUGCUUUCACCCCUGGAAUCAUCCUUAAAAUCUCUUCUCACAUUACUGCGGUCAUCUCUCCCACCCCUAGGACUGCUUGAACGGAUACCUCGAGAACUCCUAAUAGUGCUAGGAUCAUCUGAUGAUACAUUUUCUCUUGAGUGAUGACUACCAUAAAUAUCACUAAUUGUUUCUCCUUGAGUCACGGUACUUUCUUCAUGAGUGAUCUCAUGUGCAG
Molecule: unclassified non-coding RNA, 470 nt
Filed under: Hevea brasiliensis (rubber tree)
Lineage: Eukaryota; Viridiplantae; Streptophyta; Magnoliopsida; Malpighiales; Euphorbiaceae
Source: RNAcentral